CCAGCUCCAAUAGCGUAUAUUAAAGUUGUUGCAGUUAAAAAGCUCGUAGUUGGAUUUCUGGUGGGAGUGUGCGUCCCGGUUUUCCGGUGUUCGCCGUCUCCGGCCAUCCUUGGGUGGACCCAGUCUGGCAUUAAGUUGUUGGGCUGGAGAUGCCCAUCGUUUACUGUGAAAAAAUUAGAGUGUUCAAAGCAGGCUUAUGCCGUUGAAUAUAUUAGCAUGGAAUAAUAAGAUAGGACCUUGGUACUAUUUUGUUGGUUUGCGCGCCAAGGUAAUGAUUAAUAGGGACAGUUGGGGAUAUUCGUAUUCCGUUGUCAGAGGUGAAAUUCUUGGAUUUACGGAAGACGAACUACUGCGAAAGCAUUUAUCAAGGAUGUUUUCA
Molecule: ribosomal RNA, 379 nt
Filed under: uncultured Urosolenia
Lineage: Eukaryota; Bacillariophyta; Coscinodiscophyceae; Rhizosoleniales; Rhizosoleniaceae
Description: SSU rRNA
Rfam family: Eukaryotic small subunit ribosomal RNA
Source: RNAcentral